AACGUAGGACACAAGCGUUAUCCGGAGUUACUGGGCGUAAAGGGCGCGUAGGCGGAUCGGUAAGUCUACUCUGAAAGCUCCUGGCUAAACUGGGAGAGGCGAGUGGAGACUGUCGGUCUAGAGUGAGGUAGAGGAAAGUGGAAUUCCGCGUGUAGUGGUGAAGUGCGUAGAGAUGCGGAGGAACACCAGUGGCGAAAGCGGCUUUCUGGCCCUUAACUGACGCUGAGGCGCGAAAGCAUGGGGAGCGAACGGG
RNAcentral lists this ribosomal RNA (253 nucleotides) under uncultured bacterium. Its description in RNAcentral is "partial 16S ribosomal RNA". It matches the Rfam family "Bacterial small subunit ribosomal RNA", at positions 524 to 776 of the family's 1533-position model. The record is from RNAcentral.